UUUCAUCAGUCGAGCAAACGAUCUUCUUUACUUGGACAUUUGGGCUUCUGCUUGUGGAUUUCUUAGUAGGCUCUACUGCUGGCACCAUGCCUUAUCAUGAUGAGGAGUACCCCGGUCAGCCUCUGUGGCAGUCUGUGCUGCUUUUCUGCUGCAAGGGCAUGAUCGAGGGCAUCAUGGUCAUUCUGUUCUUCUGGCUUCUGGUUCAGGUCCUGUUCACCAAACAGUUAGAAGUUCAUCUCCAGAUUCUUCUUCUGGUUGGGCUGAUCACCUUUUGUCUGUGUUUGGUCCUGGGAUGCCUUCUGUGCUUGUGGAAAAGUAAAGUUUCUCGAGUGAAAGACAAAGCUCCUGCGACAUCAGCACCAGCUCCUGCUGAACCUGUGUCCUUUGCUCAGACCUCACCUUCUCCCUCAGCAGGAGCAACAGCAUCAGCAUCCAAGCAGCAGUUUGCUGAGCUGGAUGAAGAAGUGCUGGAGUACCCGUCCACUUUUAGCAGCGCUGCUACUUCAGAGGGUGAAUUUGGCUCUCUGGCAUUUUCAAAUCAAACUUCCUGUGAACAAAAGGAGCCUCCAAAGUCUUAUUUUUCCCUGCGCCGCCUCAGCACACCUCUGCUUUCAUCACCCCUUUAUAAACCAUUAGACCAGAGUCAUAGCUCGCUGCCUUCCUUUCCCAAACUGGGACUACUGGCCAAAACACGCAAGGCCCUGCAGCGACGCUGCACUGUAACUGGGGAAGACAUAUCUUAUAAUGAGCACACUAGACUCACCAGACCCAGUGCUGGCUCUCCUUCUACAAAAGAAAAACCUAUCCCAUUGGCCCCACUAAGCUAUGGCUCCAGUGCAAGCUGCCAACAUCCAAUAUCACCAAAACCCUGCCUCCACUUCACUAUGGCCUUCUCUCCAGGGCAGCAAACCCUGACAGUCACUGUCCUCAGCCUCAGUGGGACGCCUCACAGGCUGGAAGAUGUGUCUGUGCAGGGCAGCCUACCACCUCUCUGCCCCUUUCCUAUGAAAGCCGCUGUGCAGAGCAGCUCCAGCUCUGAAGCCCACAGCCUGGUGCUAAUUUUUAAGGUGAGCUCUGUGGAGGAGCUCCAAAGGUGUGUACUGAAGGUAGCUGUGAAUGCACGAGAACCAGCGAGCCCCAGACGCAGUUCUCUGGGUGAACUGGAAGCCGAGUGUGCAGGAAGAGACUGGACACCACAGACGCCACUUCACUUAACAAAAGAACUCAAUCGAAGCAAGUAGAAAAUAAAAAAGAGUCUGACCUCUCAGGAUGCACUGAUGUGUAAGGGGCUUAGCUGUCCUCCACAGAUCUUCAUUUUGCUUCAUUAUCAGACUGUCGCACUCUGUUAAAGUCACGGUCCUCAGAGCUGAUAAUCUAGACAGCCUUGUUUCUACAUCAGUGGCAGCAGACUACCAGGUGAUCAAUCUGCACCACGAGGGAGUUUUGAUGAGCAGCAGAGAGACUAAAGCAGGGUCCUGUACUGUGUGGAACACUUCUUUCCUGUUUGACCUGCCUCCAGGAGACAUCAGUCAGCUGCCCCUCAUGCUUGAAUUUGUAAUAAACCAGAAUGCAGUCCUUUCAGAAGCCAGAGUUGUUGGCCGAGUCUUCGUUGGAGCAGAGGUUGCAGAUGCAGGACGUGCUCAUUGGAGAGACAUGUGCAGCCAGCAUGUGGAGCAGGCACGAUGGCACACUAUUCAACCUGAAACCGCAAUAGAAUAAGGCUGUUUGAUGACCAAUGGAGCGGAUUUACUGUUGAGCUCUUUGGGCAACAAAAACGGUCAGACAUGAAGCGCGUAUGGAUAGAGUCAACCUGUGAUCUAGUUCACCUCAAGGUGCUGUCUACACUCAAGAUGAUACACACCCUCCUAAUCUGGCAGCUUACUUGGACUUCAAAAAUUUCCAUCUAUGGCAUCCCAGUGGAGCUGCCCCCCAGCACUGCUGCUGUUUCAGUUCCUCCACCACCUCACUGUCAAAAUGGGGAUUUAAGGAGGUGUUAUUAACUCAUCGGCUCUGACAGAUGUUUGAAAGGAGUGAUGAGCUUGCAGCCAAACUCUGUAUCCUGGAGUUGUCUGACUGAAUUGUUGUUUAGGUAUAUGAAAUGCCUGUGUUCAGUGAAACUCUGAGAAAUCAGUUCUUUCAACAUGGCCUUAUUUCAGCAUAUCAGUCACUACAUUCUUCUAUGCAAAAUGUAGAAAGUUGCUUUUAGUGUACGUUUCUGUAAAGCAAAGCCCAGGAUAAACCUUUUAAUUGUG
Molecule: non-coding RNA, 2252 nt
Organism: Maylandia zebra (zebra mbuna)
Lineage: Eukaryota; Metazoa; Chordata; Actinopteri; Cichliformes; Cichlidae
Source: RefSeq, a predicted model, not a curated record